Molecule: ribosomal RNA, 661 nt
Filed under: uncultured bacterium
Lineage: Bacteria
Description: bacterial SSU rRNA
Rfam family: Bacterial small subunit ribosomal RNA
Source: RNAcentral
AGUGGCGAACGGGUGAGUAACGCGUGAGUAUCUGCCCUUAGGAGGGGGACAACAGUUGGAAACGACUGCUAAUACCCCAUAUGUCUACGGAUGAAAGAUUUUAUCGCCUGAGGAUGAACUCGCGUCUGAUUAGCUAGUUGGUGAGGUAAUGGCUCACCAAGGCGACGAUCAGUAGCUGGUCUGAGAGGAUGAUCAGCCACACUGGGACUGAGACACGGCCCAGACUCCUACGGGAGGCAGCAGUGGGGAAUUUUCCGAAAUGGGGGCAACCCUGACGGAGCAAUACCGCGUGCGGGAGGACGGCCUGUGGGUUGUAAACCGCUUUUCUCAGGGAAGAAGACCUGACGGUACCUGAGGAAUCAGCAUCGGCUAACUCCGUGCCAGCAGCCGCGGUAAUACGGAGGAUGCAAGCGUUAUCCGGAAUUAUUGGGCGUAAAGCGUCCGUAGGUGGUUAAUCAAGUCUGCUGUUAAAGAGCGGAGCUUAACUCCGUUUAAGCGGUGGAAACUGGUUGACUAGAGAGUGGUAGGGGUAGAGGGAAUUCCCAGUGUAGCGGUGAAAUGCGUAGAUAUUGGGAAGAACACCGGUGGCGAAAGCGCUCUACUGGGCCACAUCUGACACUGAUGGACGAAAGCUAGGGGAGCGAAAGGGAUUAGAUACCCC